This 1144-nucleotide long non-coding RNA is filed under the name Homo sapiens (human). RNAcentral describes it as "HSALNT0357937". The record is from RNAcentral. Lineage: Eukaryota; Metazoa; Chordata; Mammalia; Primates; Hominidae.
GUCACACUCAACUUACAGCAAUUUAUCUGAAUUACCAUUCAGGUGAUCCAUCCACUUUUUAGUUCCGUGGUUCCUGCUCCAGAAGACAAGGACAAACUGAUACAUCAUCAAAAGAAUUUAUUUAGCCAGAGUGAAUACAUUCUUCUUUAUCCUCAUUGUCUUUAUGGAAACCUCCAAAUGAGCAGCAGUGCACAUCUAUAAAGGAUACAUGGAUGAUUCAGAGAAAAAAAAGUGACCAUGAUUUGCCCAGAAAAUCCACCAAUUGGAAGGGGAGGACUCUUUUCUUCCCAUCCCACUCAUGAGAACAGUGAAGGUAAUGUCCACAGGACAUGUUCCUUACAGUCCCACCUUGUUGGACCCCACUCGGUAAUUUGGAGUCUUGUGAUCGUGAUCUGGGAAGAAAGGGCAACAGCUUUCCAGGUGAAGGUGCAGGGAAGAGUUGUCUCCUUGGAGUCCAGGAUGGGAGCCUACUGCUUGCUGGGAAUCUCAGCUGGUGAAAAGGAUGCAGGGCAAGUAGUGGUUAAGCAUGGUCAUUUGAGCAUCAAGGUGAAAAGCUGCUUCUAAAUUGUAGGGACCAGAUCCACACAGCGAUCUCUCCAACAUGGGUGGAAAAGGAUGUUCUUGGCCACAUUAAUCACACCUCUCUCCAGAAAUCCAGGCACCAGGAAUUAAGCCAAACACCAGAUGAGGGCUCCCCAUGUGCUGUUAAGAACUGCAGCCUUCCUGCAGGAGCAUCAGUAGACCCAAAAGGCCAGAAAACAUCUUCCUGAAGCCCCAAAAAACAGAAGCCUCAACUGUCUGCCCUUUCUAUAUUCCUGAACUGUAGAAUCUUUGAGCAUAAUAAAAUGGCUGUUGUUUUAGCCAAUUCAAGAUGAUUUAUUAUGUAGCAAUAGUAACUAGGACAUACCGAUGUUUGUGUUAAAGUCAGAGGAGCUUUUAAAAUUUUUCAGACCAUUGCAGAUGUUAUAUUUAUCAAUUUGCAGUAAAUAUCAAUAUAUCCAGAUCCGUACACAUUUUACUAAAUCAUAAUCUUUAUACUAACUUUCAUUUAUUUGAAAUGUACAUAUCACUAACGACACAUUCCACAAUAUAUGAAUGUUGUUGAAGAUUGGAGCUUUUCCUCAUCCAUGUUUAUUAUUUUAAA